This 436-nucleotide unclassified non-coding RNA is filed under the name Hevea brasiliensis (rubber tree). Lineage: Eukaryota; Viridiplantae; Streptophyta; Magnoliopsida; Malpighiales; Euphorbiaceae. The record is from RNAcentral.
GGACCUUAUAGUUUUCUACCAAUCCAGAAACCUGCCAAGCCUUUAGGCAUGCAUUGCGCCAAAAUACAGGGUUCCGAAUUGUAUACCUCCACUUUCGACAAACACAAGCUGCCUUACCCAAGGUGUAUGGGGUCGUUUUUGACAAGAUCUCAAAAAGCAGUUCAUCAGGUAGUACUCGGUGUAUCAAUGCAGGGUCAACAAACUGCUUGCUGCUAGCACUUCCAAAAGGAGCGACAGGUCUAACAUUAAUCCCAUACAAAUCAAGCCAUGGCCUAUGAGGAAAAAUGAACUGAGAAGCUCUCAACUGUGCAGCAGUUUCGAGUUCCACAGCAAGUUCCACUGUGUAAUCUGAGGCCAUUUUUCUUGGUUUUGAAUGUUGUGCUUGACAAUUUGGAUAUCCAGCCCGAGAAAAACUGUGUAAAGGAAGAAAUGAAAA